RNAcentral lists this ribosomal RNA (467 nucleotides) under uncultured bacterium. Its description in RNAcentral is "partial 16S ribosomal RNA". It matches the Rfam family "Bacterial small subunit ribosomal RNA", at positions 27 to 507 of the family's 1533-position model. The record is from RNAcentral.
GGACGAACGCUGGCGGCGCGCCUAACACAUGCAAGUCGAACGAGCGAGAGAGAGCUUGCUUUCUCGAGCGAGUGGCGAACGGGUGAGUAACGCGUGAGGAACCUGCCUCAAAGAGGGGGACAACAGUUGGAAACGACUGCUAAUACCGCAUAAGCCCACGGCUCGGCAUCGAGCAGGGGGAAAAGGAGCAAUCCGCUUUGAGAUGGCCUCGCGUCCGAUUAGCUAGUUGGUGAGGUAACGGCCCACCAAGGCGACGAUCGGUAGCCGGACUGAGAGGUUGAACGGCCACAUUGGGACUGAGACACGGCCCAGACUCCUACGGGAGGCAGCAGUGGGGAAUAUUGCACAAUGGGGGAAACCCUGAUGCAGCGACGCCGCGUGGAGGAAGAAGGUCUUCGGAUUGUAAACUCCUGUUGUUGGGGAAGAUAAUGACGGUACCCAACAAGGAAGUGACGGCUAACUACGUG